Coregonus clupeaformis (lake whitefish) is the source of this 1218-nucleotide long non-coding RNA. RefSeq lists it as uncharacterized. The transcript has 4 exons. Lineage: Eukaryota; Metazoa; Chordata; Actinopteri; Salmoniformes; Salmonidae. The record is from RefSeq and is a predicted model, not a curated record.
UAGUGUCAUGACGUUAUCGACGUCAUGACGUUCUGGUGGGUGGGUCAUCUCUCCCUCAGGAAAGCUGAGUCAGCCAUCUUGAAUUUGCCUUGAUGCGGGGAUGUUUGGGCCGCCCGUGUGGAUGUGGAACACAGUUUAAUUUGUUUUAAUUUGUUUGCAAUGCGCACUUUUAUGCUGCCCGCUUGAAACCACCACCACCUCCGUUUUUAUCAUUAGUCUUAUUGCCCUCGUUUUCUUAAGCGCCAUCUUAUCAUCACCUCUGAUUUGCGGGUUUCCUGGAUGAACUACAUUUCCCAUAAUGCAUGUUUGCCCGGGACAUUGACGGUGGAGGAAGGUCCAUGAGUUUUCGCUGUUCGCCGGUAAUGCAAGUGCGUACUGCUCAAGUGUGUGGUUGUGAGAUCAUCUCGAAAUCCUUUUAACAGUUCAGGAACAACGUGAUGUAAAUAUGAGACGGGCCCUCGUCCUUCGUGCACUUCCUGUGUACCUGCGUGAAGAUGCCUCCAAGUUUUUAAGUGUACUGGCCUCACUAUCAAUCCCUUUGCUUAGCUAUUCAGUCAGCUUAAACAUGACAUCACUCAAAGAACUCUAGGAGAACCAGAGGGGCAUUCCAGAAAGCAGGUUAUGUGAAAACCAUCAGUAUAGCCAAUUGUAUUUUUUCCAACAACGUAAUUUCAAAGUCUGUGUUUCUAGUUUGUCGCCGCAUUGAGUAUGAGAUAAAAUGUUUUUAUAUUUCAUUUUCAGCCGAUUUAAAUAAAACAAAAUAGCCUAAAAUAAAACAUUGAACAACAUUCAACCACUUCCUUAAAGGCUAAUAUAAAAUAAAGUGAUGUUAAAUUCAAAAUGAAAAGACGACUGCAUCUGAAACUCUGUCAGUGAUUUAUAUAACAGCCGCAGCCAGAAAAUGUCUGCUUCCUGUUUUCUCCCGUUGCCAUGGUGAAUAACCGUAUCGGAGCUCCAUUGAUGAUGGCUUUUUACUAGUCGUCAGGCACAAGCUCAACUCCGAGUUAACGUACUCUGAGUCAACUUACCUAACUUAGAUCAGCUGUUCUGUAACUGAAAACUCAGUUUCACUUCACAGGGUAAGUCAACUCUGAGUUCAGGGUUAGGCUCAGUUUGUUGAACCUCCUUUCUGGAAUAGCCCCCAGGACCUGUUUAUGAAGUUUCCUUGAGUUGUUAUUCUGCAAACUGACAUGUAGAAAUUACAAAAAUGAAAAGGUA